AUUGAACGCUGGCGGCAGGCCUAACACAUGCAAGUCGAGCGAGCGGCGGGUGGGUGAGUAAUGUAUGGGGUCUGCCCGAUAGAGGGGGCGAACUACUGGAAACGGUAGCUAAUACAGCAUACUAUCGGAUAACCCAUAUGGGAUUAGCUAGUAGGUGAGGUAAUGGCUCACCUAGGCGACGAUCCCUAGCUGGUCUGAGAGGAUGAUCAGCCACACUGGGACUGCGACACGGCCCAGACUCCUACGGAGGCAUCAGUGGGUAAUAUUGCACAAUGGGCGCAAGCCUGAUGCAGCCAUGCCGCGUGUAUGAAGAAGGCCCUAGGGUUGUAAAGUACUUUCAGUCGGGAGGCGUUACCGACAGAAGAAGCACCGGCUAACUCCGUGCCAGCAGCCGCGGUAAUAC
Molecule: ribosomal RNA, 403 nt
Filed under: uncultured bacterium
Lineage: Bacteria
Description: partial 16S ribosomal RNA
Rfam family: Bacterial small subunit ribosomal RNA
Source: RNAcentral